RNAcentral lists this ribosomal RNA (370 nucleotides) under uncultured organism. RNAcentral's name for it is "bacterial SSU rRNA". It matches the Rfam family "Bacterial small subunit ribosomal RNA", at positions 526 to 896 of the family's 1533-position model. The record is from RNAcentral.
CAGAGGUCCCAAGCGUUGUUCGGAUUCACUGGGCGUAAAGGGUGCGUAGGUGGUGGGGUAAGUUUGAUGUGAAAGCUCGAGCUUAACUCGGAAAUGGCAUUGAAUACUAUCCUGCUUGAGGGUUGGAGGGGGGACUGGAAUUCUCGGUGUAGCAGUGAAAUGCGUAGAUAUCGAGAGGAACACCAGUGGCGAAGGCGAGUCCCUGGACAACUCCUGACACUGAGGCACGAAAGCUAGGGGAGCAAACAGGAUUAGAUACCCUGGUAGUCCUAGCCGUAAACGGUGCACGUUUGCUGUAAAAGGAUCGUACCCCUUUGUGGCGUAGCCAACGCGUUAAACGUGCCGCCUGGGAAGUACGGUCGCAAGAUUA